RNAcentral lists this ribosomal RNA (901 nucleotides) under uncultured bacterium. RNAcentral describes it as "bacterial SSU rRNA". It matches the Rfam family "Bacterial small subunit ribosomal RNA", at positions 531 to 1433 of the family's 1533-position model. The record is from RNAcentral.
GGGGCUAGCGUUGUUCGGAAAUCACUGGGCGUAAAAGCGUACGUAGGCGGCUAUUCAAGUCAGAGGUGAAAAGCCCAGGGCUCAACCUUGGAACUGCCUUUGAGACUGGAUAGCUAGAGCACGGAAGAGGUAAGUGGAAUUCCGAGUGUAGAGGUGAAAUUCGUAGAUAUUCGGAGGAACACCCGUGGCGAAGGCGGCUUACUGGGCCGUUGCUGACGCUGAGGUACGAAAGCGUGGGGAUCAAACAGGAUUAGAUACCCUGGUAGUCCACGCUGUAAACGAUGGGAACUAGUUGUCGGGGCUCUUAGAGUUUCGGUGACGCAGCUAACGCGUUAAGUUCCCCGCCUGGGGAGUACGGUCGCAAGAUUAAAACAUAAAGGAAUUGACGGGAACCCGCACAAGUAGUGGAUCAUGCGGCUUAAUUCGUAAGUAAGCGUGGAACCUCACCUAGGUUUGACAUGCUCUUGCAAGACUUUGGAAACUUAGUCCCUCUCUUCGGAGACUUUUGCACAGAUGAUGCACGGUCGUCGUCAGCUCGUGUCGUGAGAUGUUCGGUUAAGUCCGGUAACGAGCGCAACCCCAGUCCUUAGUUAUUUAAUGUCUAAGGAGACCGCCGAAGUUUAAUUCGGAGGAAGGAUGGGAUGACGUCAGAUCUGCGUGUCUCUUACAUCUAGGGCUGCACGCAUGAUACAAUGGGAAUGGUACAACGGGUUAUGCCAAAGAGCGAUCUGGAGCGAAUCCCCCAAAACCACCCUCAGUACGGAUUGGAGUCUGAAACUCGACUCCAUGAAGCUGGAAUUACUAGUAAUCGCUGAUCAGCCACGCAGCGGUGAAUACGUUCUCGGGUUUUGUACACACUGCCCGUCACGCCCUGGGAAUUGAAUGCGCCCCAAACCAUCAU